CAGAGAUCUCCUCCCGCUGCUCCUUGUUUCUGCGGACUUCGGCAGCAUGGAGCUCCUGCAAAGACACGGAAGGUUUUAGCUGGGAACGAUUUAAGUCAGGGACGGGAGGGAAAAAAUUAGGGCCUUGUGGAGAACCUCCCGCUCGUGCUCCCGCUUCUCGGCCAGCUGCUUUAGUACCUGCGCCUCCUGAGUCUGGCAAAGCAAAGGACUCCCGGUGACAACCCGAGCCCUCUUCCUUCCAUCCCCAAAGGCUCUGUCUAACGGUAAACAGCCCUCCAAGGGCUCUCCCCGGGCAGAUACCCAGCAGAAAGGUCAGAGACCAAUCCUUUAAACAACUGAGGUGCUGUGGCCCAGAGCAACUUCCCUAGAUGGGGCUCAGUAAAUUGGGGGUCCAUCAUUUGCCCUAAAGCAAAACAUCUCUCAACCAUUGGCCUCUGGGGCUGAAGCCCCUCCCACAAACCUCUUGCGCACCACUGUGGGACUUUUUUUUUUCUCCCACAAAAUGUAACCUUCCCCAAAUCACUAUUUUCAGUUUGUCACUCCUGCAGAGUAACUUUCAGGGGUUCUAAAACAUCAAACUCUCUAAUCCAAUCCCACUGACAUUUAUUUAACCCUUCCUCUACAUUGCAACCCUCCUCACUUGCUCUAGGAAUGUAAGAUGCAGGUUGGGCUAGUACAGCAGCCUGGGAACCAACUUCGGGCCUCAGAUCUCCCCCUGGCCCCAUCCUGCUGGCCCCAAGGCUGCCAGGGACUCCCUCCCACCCCUAGCAUCCAAUAAUAGCUCCUCUGGGGUUUAAAGCUCUUCACCCCGUGGCCCUUGCCUACCUUUGCAGUCUUACUACAUCUUAUUUCCCUACAAACCUAGAGUCUAGCCAUUUUUGCUGUGCCUCACAAAGGCCCCCCAUUCUCUAGAUUUGCAUGGUUGCCUAUGCCUGGAAUAGUUGUCUUUGUGUAACCUUCAAGGAUCUCUGUAUCUACUUUGUGUACACCCUGUCUAUACCCAAAUGUAUUCCAGGCCACACGUUCAUGAAGGGAUGCUUCUUUAGGGCAGAAGCUUUUUUACUUUGUGUCCCCAGUGUUGAGUACCAUCCCCAGCAUAUUGUAAAGGUUUGAUUUGAAAGGGAACUAGGCCAACGAACCUGGCGUAGAUAAACACCCUUCCUAGGCCAAUGAACCCUGUGUGAUAACCACAUUGACCUCUCCAUCCUGUGUGACUACCCUCGGUAAGCUCCAUGGUCAGCCCCAAGGGUAUAUAAGCCUGCCUUGAAAGUUGCUUCGGGGAGGAACUCCCUUUGGGCUCCUCCCUGCGCGUGUGGAAGUGUGUUACAAUAAAAUACCUCUCUGUGCA
This is a non-coding RNA of Monodelphis domestica (gray short-tailed opossum), 1348 nucleotides long. NCBI's taxonomy places the organism in Eukaryota, Metazoa, Chordata, Mammalia, Didelphimorphia, Didelphidae. The record is from RefSeq and is a predicted model, not a curated record.